RNAcentral lists this ribosomal RNA (393 nucleotides) under uncultured bacterium. RNAcentral describes it as "partial 16S ribosomal RNA". It matches the Rfam family "Bacterial small subunit ribosomal RNA", at positions 523 to 918 of the family's 1533-position model. The record is from RNAcentral.
AUACGGAGGAUCCGAGCGUUAUCCGGAUUUAUUGGGUUUAAAGGGAGCGUAGGCGGACUAUUAAGUCAGCUGUGAAAGUUUGCGGCUCAACCGUAAAAUUGCAGUUGAUACUGGUCGUCUUGAGUGCAGUAGAGGUAGGCGGAAUUCGUGGUGUAGCGGUGAAAUGCUUAGAUAUCACGAAGAACUCCGAUCGCGAAGGCAGCUCACCGGGCCGGAACUGACACUGAUGCUCGAAAGUGCGGGUAUCAAACAGGAUUAGAUACCCUGGUAGUCCGCACAGUAAACGAUGAAUACUCGCUGUUUGCGAUAUACAGUAAGCGGCCAAGCGAAAGCAUUAAGUAUUCCACCUGGGGAGUACGCCGGCAACGGUGAAACUCAAAUGAAUUGGCGGGG